Molecule: long non-coding RNA, 460 nt
Organism: Dermacentor albipictus
Lineage: Eukaryota; Metazoa; Arthropoda; Arachnida; Ixodida; Ixodidae
Source: RefSeq, a predicted model, not a curated record
AGCGCCCUGUCGCCAUUUCUAUGUGGCUGUGCUCGCUGUUAGUGUUCCUGUAUAUUCUCCCGCAGGAAGCAGAGUUGCGCAUAACUUUUCCGACGCCGCUCACACCGCUAUUCGCCGAACGCUAUCACGUGGUACAAAAAUGACGUCAAAUGAUCAACUGCACCGCUGCGAAGCCAACUUUACGGGCACGGCACCGGCUCGUUUCUGUGAGUGUCAUCGAAAUUGCAAUCAGCGGACCGUCAAGCGAGCGUUGCACUUAUCCGCUCCGGGUUGCAGCGCACCAAACUGCGCAAAUCGCACGUGCGGACGGACGAGACCGGCCAGCUCCGAAUGGGGCCAGGAUAUGUGAGGUGCGCUCGCCUUGUUUGCAGAGUGGCUUUGAAUCCUUCACCCAAGGCUCCAAGAACCGGCACUCAUCCCCUGCUGCCACCAGCCAUUGCUCAUUCAUUCCCUUGUACGA